This 85-nucleotide transfer RNA is filed under the name Felis catus (domestic cat). It matches the Rfam family "tRNA". Rfam says of the family: Transfer RNA (tRNA) molecules are approximately 80 nucleotides in length. Their secondary structure includes four short double-helical elements and three loops (D, anti-codon, and T loops). Further hydrogen bonds mediate the characteristic L-shaped molecular structure. tRNAs have two regions of fundamental functional importance: the anti-codon, which is responsible for specific mRNA codon recognition, and the 3' end, to which the tRNAs corresponding amino acid is attached (by aminoacyl-tRNA synthetases). tRNAs cope with the degeneracy of the genetic code in two manners: having more than one tRNA (with a specific anti-codon) for a particular amino acid; and 'wobble' base-pairing, i.e. permitting non-standard base-pairing at the 3rd anti-codon position. Lineage: Eukaryota; Metazoa; Chordata; Mammalia; Carnivora; Felidae. The record is from Rfam by way of RNAcentral.
GCCUGGGUGGCUCAGUAGGUUGAGCCUCUGACUUUGGCUCAGGUCACAAUCUCAUGGUUCGUGAGUUCGAGCCCCGCGUCAGGCU